RNAcentral lists this ribosomal RNA (1372 nucleotides) under uncultured bacterium. Its description in RNAcentral is "bacterial SSU rRNA". It matches the Rfam family "Bacterial small subunit ribosomal RNA", at positions 28 to 1381 of the family's 1533-position model. The record is from RNAcentral.
GAUGAACGCUGGCGGCGUGCCUAAUACAUGCAAGUCGAGCGAACGGACGAGAAGCUUGCUUCUCUGAUGUUAGCGGCGGACGGGUGAGUAACACGUGGAUAACCUACCUAUAAGACUGGGAUAACUUCGGGAAACCGGAGCUAAUACCGGAUAAUAUUUUGAACCGCAUGGUUCAAAAGUGAAAGACGGUCUUGCUGUCACUUAUAGAUGGAUCCGCGCUGCAUUAGCUAGUUGGUAAGGUGACGGCUUACCAAGGCAACGAUGCAUAGCCGACCUGAGAGGGUGAUCGGCCACACUGGAACUGAGACACGGCCCAGACUCCUACGGGAGGCAGCAGUAGGGAAUCUUCCGCAAUGGGCGAAAGCCUGACGGAGCAACGCCGCGUGAGUGAUGAAGGUCUUCGGAUCGUAAAACUCUGUUAUUAGGGAAGAACAUAUGUGUAAGUAACUGUGCACAUCUUGACGGUACCUAAUCAGAAAGCCACGGCUAACUACGUGCCAGCAGCCGCGGUAGUACGUAGGUGGCAAGCGUUAUCCGGAAUUAUUGGGCGUAAAGCGCGCGUAGGCGGUUUUUUAAGUCUGAUGUGAAAGCCCACGGCUCAACCGUGGAGGGUCAUUGGAAACUGGAAAACUUGAGUGCAGAAGAGGAAAGUGGAAUUCCAUGUGUAGCGGUGAAAUGCGCAGAGAUAUGGAGGAACACCAGUGGCGAAGGCGACUUUCUGGUCUGUAACUGACGCUGAUGUGCGAAAGCGUGGGGAUCAAACAGGAUUAGAUACCCUGGUAGUCCACGCCGUAAACGAUGAGUGCUAAGUGUUAGGGGGUUUCCGCCCCUUAGUGCUGCAGCUAACGCAUUAAGCACUCCGCCUGGGGAGUACGACCGCAAGGUUGAAACUCAAAGGAAUUGACGGGGACCCGCACAAGCGGUGGAGCAUGUGGUUUAAUUCGAAGCAACGCGAAGAACCUUACCAAAUCUUGACAUCCUUUGACAACUCUAGAGAUAGAGCCUUCCCCUUCGGGGGACAAAGUGACAGGUGGUGCAUGGUUGUCGUCAGCUCGUGUCGUGAGAUGUUGGGUUAAGUCCCGCAACGAGCGCAACCCUUAAGCUUAGUUGCCAUCAUUAAGUUGGGCACUCUAAGUUGACUGCCGGUGACAAACCGGAGGAAGGUGGGGAUGACGUCAAAUCAUCAUGCCCCUUAUGAUUUGGGCAACACACGUGCUACAAUGGACAAUACAAAGGGCAGCGAAACCGCGAGGUCAAGCAAAUCCCAUAAAGUUGUUCUCAGUUCGGAUUGUAGUCUGCAACUCGACUACAUGAAGCUGGAAUCGCUAGUAAUCGUAGAUCAGCAUGCUACGGUGAAUACGUUCCCGGGUCU